Molecule: small nuclear RNA, 157 nt
Organism: Onychomys torridus (southern grasshopper mouse)
Lineage: Eukaryota; Metazoa; Chordata; Mammalia; Rodentia; Cricetidae
Product: U1 spliceosomal RNA
Exons: 1
Source: RefSeq, a predicted model, not a curated record
AUACAGACCUGACAGGGGAGAUAGAGCUAGCAAGAACAUGGGUUUCCAAGGGUGACUUAUCCACUUGGGAUAUGCUGACCUUUGUGAUUUUCCCAAGUUCAAGAAACUUGACUGAAUAAUUUGUGGUAGUUGGUGACUGUGUUCCUGCUCUCCCCUG